AAGGAUUGACAGAUUGAUAGCUCUUUCUUGAUUUGGUGGGUGGUGGUGCAUGGCCGUUCUUAGUUGGUGGAGUGAUUUGUCUGGUUAAUUCCGAUAACGAACGAGACUCUGUCCUGUUAAAUAGAUCCAACCUAGUCGUAGGGUUGGAAUUUCUUCUUAGAGGGACUGGUGAUUAUUAGUCACACGAGAUUGAGCAAUAACAGGUCUGUGAUGCCCUUAGAUGUUCUGGGCCGCACACGCGCUACACUGAAGUGAUCAGCUAGUUUUUCCCUCUCCGAGAGGAGCGGGUAAACUGUUGAACCCACUUCGUGGUAGGGAUCGGGGCUUGCAAUUAUUCUCCGUGAACCAGGAAUUCC
Molecule: ribosomal RNA, 356 nt
Filed under: Eurytemora caspica
Lineage: Eukaryota; Metazoa; Arthropoda; Copepoda; Calanoida; Temoridae
Description: SSU rRNA
Rfam family: Eukaryotic small subunit ribosomal RNA
Source: RNAcentral